CCUACGGGGGGCAGCAGUGGGGAAUAUUGGACAAUGGGCGAAAGCCUGAUCCAGCCAUGCCGCGUGUGUGAAGAAGGCCUUCGGGUUGUAAAGCACUUUCAGUGGGGAAGAAAGCCUUGGGGCUAAUACCCUCGAGGAAGGACAUCACCCACAGAAGAAGCACCGGCUAACUCCGUGCCAGCAGCCGCGGUAAUACGGAGGGUGCGAGCGUUAAUCGGAAUUACUGGGCGUAAAGCGCGCGUAGGCGGUCUGAUAAGCCGGUUGUGAAAGCCCCGGGCUCAACCUGGGAACGGCAUCCGGAACUGUCAGGCUAGAGUGCAGGAGAGGAAGGUAGAAUUCCCGGUGUAGCGGUGACAUGCGUAGAGAUCGGGAGGAAUACCAGUGGCGAAGGCGGCCUUCUGGACUGACACUGACGCUGAGGUGCGAAAGCGUGGGUAGCAAACAGGAUUAGAUACCCGUGUAGUC
RNAcentral lists this ribosomal RNA (465 nucleotides) under Vreelandella stevensii. Its description in RNAcentral is "partial 16S ribosomal RNA". It matches the Rfam family "Bacterial small subunit ribosomal RNA", at positions 338 to 795 of the family's 1533-position model. Lineage: Bacteria; Pseudomonadati; Pseudomonadota; Gammaproteobacteria; Oceanospirillales; Halomonadaceae. The record is from RNAcentral.